This 386-nucleotide ribosomal RNA is filed under the name uncultured bacterium. RNAcentral's name for it is "bacterial SSU rRNA". It matches the Rfam family "Bacterial small subunit ribosomal RNA", at positions 29 to 416 of the family's 1533-position model. The record is from RNAcentral.
AUUGAACGCUGGCGGAAUGCUUUACACAUGCAAGUCGAACGGCAGCGGGGGCUUCGGCCUGCCGGCGAGUGGCGAACGGGUGAGUAAUGCAUCGGAACGUGCCCAUGUCGUGGGGGAUAACGUAGCGAAAGUUACGCUAAUACCGCAUACGAUCUACGGAUGAAAGCGGGGGAUCGCAAGACCUCGCGCGAUUGGAGCGGCCGAUAUCAGAUUAGGUAGUUGGUGGGGUAAAGGCUCACCAAGCCAACGAUCUGUAGCUGGUCUGAGAGACGACCAGCCACACUGGAACUGAGACACGGUCCAGACUCCUACGGGAGGCAGCAGUGGGGAAUAUUGGGCAAUGGAGGAAACUCUGACCCAGCGACGCCGCGUGAGGGAUGAAGGCC